Molecule: ribosomal RNA, 547 nt
Filed under: uncultured archaeon
Lineage: Archaea
Description: bacterial SSU rRNA
Rfam family: Archaeal small subunit ribosomal RNA
Source: RNAcentral
GUGCAGCAGGCGCGAAAACUUUGCAAUAAGCGAAAGCUUGACAGGGCUAUCCCGAGUGCCAUCCGCUGAGGAAGGCUUUUACCCAGUCUAGAACGCUGGGGGAAUAAGGAGAGGGCAAGUCUGGUGUCAGCCGCCGCGGUAAUACCAGCUCUCCGAGUGGUGUGGAUGUUUAUUGGGCCUAAAGCAUCCGUAGCUGGCUAGGUUAGUCCCCUGUUAAAUCCACCGAAUUAAUCGUUGGAUUGCGGGGGAUACUGCUUGGCUAGGGGACGAGAGAGGCAGACGGUAUUUCUGGGGUAGGGGUGAAAUCCUAUAAUCCCGGGAAGACCACCAGUGGCGAAGGCUGUCUGCUAGAACGCGCCCGACGGUGAGGGAUGAAAGCUGGGGGAGCGAACCGGAUUAGAUACCCGGGUAGUCCCAGCUGUAAACGAUGCAGACUAGGUGUUUGAACAGCCACGUGCCGUUCUAGUGCCGCGGGGAAGCUGUUAAGUCUGCCGCCUGGGGAGUACGAUCGCAAGAUUGAAACUUAAAGGAAUUGGCGGGGGAGCAC